This 482-nucleotide ribosomal RNA is filed under the name uncultured bacterium. RNAcentral describes it as "partial 16S ribosomal RNA". It matches the Rfam family "Bacterial small subunit ribosomal RNA", at positions 30 to 507 of the family's 1533-position model. The record is from RNAcentral.
AUUGAACGCUGGCGGCAUGCUUUACACAUGCAAGUCGAACGGUAACAGGCCGCAAGGUGCUGACGAGUGGCGGACGGGUGAGUAAUGCAUCGGAACGUGCCCAGUCGUGGGGGAUAACUACUCGAAAGAGUAGCUAAUACCGCAUACGAUCUAUGGAUUAAAUCGGGGGACCGUAAGGCCUCGCGCGAUUGGAUCGGCCGAUGUCAGAUUAGGUAGUUGGUGGGGUAAAGGCUCACCAAGCCAACGAUCUGUAGCUGGUGUGAGAGAACGACCAGCCACACGGGGACUGAGCCACGGCCCAGACUACUACGGGAGGCAGCAGCGGGGAAUUUUGGACAAUGGGCGCAAGCCUGAUCCAGCAAUGCCGAGUGCAGGAAGGAGGCGUUCGGGUUGUAAACUGCUUUUGUACGGAACGAAACGGCUCUGGUUAAUACCCGGGGCUAAUGACGGUACCGGAAGAAUAAGCACCGGCUAACUACGUG